Small nucleolar RNA from Manduca sexta (tobacco hornworm), 179 nucleotides. RefSeq annotates it as small nucleolar RNA U3. The record is from RefSeq and is a predicted model, not a curated record. The transcript has a single exon. NCBI's taxonomy places the organism in Eukaryota, Metazoa, Arthropoda, Insecta, Lepidoptera, Sphingidae.
AAGACCUUACUUCAUAGGAUCAUUUCUAUAGUAAGCUCUUCCCGAGAACUUCACACUAUGUGAAUCAACUCGUAACCACGAUGAGCGUGAGGCAGGCGAUGGUAGAUCUACCAUCAGCCCUCGAUGAUCGUUCGCUCCCCUUCACGGGGAGAGUGGGGUGUUGUCGCUGUCUGAGUGGU